AGUGAACGCUGGCGGUAGGCCUAACACAUGCAAGUCGAACGGCAGCACAGUAAGAGCUUGCUCUUACGGGUGGCGAGUGGCGGACGGGUGAGGAAUACAUCGGAAUCUACUUUUUCGUGGGGGAUAACGUAGGGAAACUUACGCUACUACCGCAUACGACCUACGGGUGAAAGCAGGGGAUCUUCGGACCUUGCGCGACUGAAUGAGCCGAUGGCGGAUUAGCUAGUUGGCGGGGUAAAGGCCCACCAAGGCAACGAUCCGUAGCUGGUCUGAGAGGAUGAUCAGCCACACUGGAACUGAGACACGGUCCAGACUCCUACGGGAGGCAGCAGUGGGGAAUAUUGGACAAUGGGCGCAAGCCUGAUCCAGCCAUACCGCGUGGGUGAAGAAGGCCUUCGGGUUGUAAAGCCCUGUUGUUGGGAAAGAAAAGCAGCAGGUGAAUACCCCGCUGUUCUGACGGUACCCAAAGAAUAAGCACCGGCUAACUUCGUG
This 492-nucleotide ribosomal RNA is filed under the name uncultured bacterium. Its description in RNAcentral is "partial 16S ribosomal RNA". It matches the Rfam family "Bacterial small subunit ribosomal RNA", at positions 29 to 507 of the family's 1533-position model. The record is from RNAcentral.